Molecule: ribosomal RNA, 496 nt
Filed under: uncultured bacterium
Lineage: Bacteria
Description: partial 16S ribosomal RNA
Rfam family: Bacterial small subunit ribosomal RNA
Source: RNAcentral
ACGAACGCUGGCGGCGUGCCUAAUACAUGCAAGUUGAGCGCUGAAGGUUGGUACUUGUACCCACUGGAUGAGCAGCGAACGGGUGAGUAACGCGUGGGGAAUCUGCCUUUGAGCGGGGGACAACAUUUGGAAACGAAUGCUAAUACCGCAUAAAAACUUUAAACACAAGUUUUAAGUUUGAAAGAUGCAAUUGCAUCACUCAAAGAUGAUCCCGCGUUGUAUUAGCUAGUUGGUGAGGUAAAGGCUCACCAAGGCGAUGAUACAUAGCCGACCUGAGAGGGUGAUCGGCCACAUUGGGACGGAGACACGGCCCAAACUCCUACGGGAGGCAGCAGUAGGGAAUCUUCGGCAAUGGACGAAAGUCUGACCGAGCAACGCCGCGUGAGUGAAGAAGGUUGUCGGAUCGUAAAACUCUGUUGGUAGAGAAGAACGUUGGUGAGAGCGGAAAGCUCAUCAAGUGACGGUAACUACCCAGAAAGGGACGGCUAACUACGUG